RNAcentral lists this ribosomal RNA (800 nucleotides) under Novosphingobium sp. RNAcentral's name for it is "bacterial SSU rRNA". It matches the Rfam family "Bacterial small subunit ribosomal RNA", at positions 51 to 896 of the family's 1533-position model. Lineage: Bacteria; Pseudomonadati; Pseudomonadota; Alphaproteobacteria; Sphingomonadales; Sphingomonadaceae. The record is from RNAcentral.
ACACAUGCAAGUCGAACGAACCCUUCGGGGUUAGUGGCGCACGGGUGCGUAACACGUGGGAAUCUGCCUCUUGGUUCGGAAUAACAGUGAGAAAUUACUGCUAAUACCGGAUGAUGACUUCGGUCCAAAGAUUUAUCGCCAAGAGAUGAGCCCGCGCAGGAUUAGGUAGUUGGUGGGGUAAAGGCCUACCAAGCCGACGAUCCUUAGCUGGUCUGAGAGGAUGAUCAGCCACACUGGGACUGAGACACGGCCCAGACUCCUACGGGAGGCAGCAGUGGGGAAUAUUGGACAAUGGGCGAAAGCCUGAUCCAGCAAUGCCGCGUGAGUGAUGAAGGCCUUAGGGUUGUAAAGCUCUUUUACCAGGGAUGAUAAUGACAGUACCUGGAGAAUAAGCUCCGGCUAACUCCGUGCCAGCAGCCGCGGUAAUACGGAGGGAGCUAGCGUUGUUCGGAAUUACUGGGCGUAAAGCGCGCGUAGGCGGUUACUCAAGUCAGAGGUGAAAGCCCGGAGCUCAACUCCGGAACUGCCUUUGAAACUAGGUGACUAGAAUCUUGGAGAGGUCAGUGGAAUUCCGAGUGUAGAGGUGAAAUUCGUAGAUAUUCGGAAGAACACCAGUGGCGAAGGCGACUGACUGGACAAGUAUUGACGCUGAGGUGCGAAAGUGUGGGGAGCAAACAGGAUUAGAUACCCUGGUAGUCCACACCGUAAACGAUGAUAACUAGCUGUCCGGGUUCUUGGAAUUUGGGUGGCGCAGCUAACGCAUUAAGUUAUCCGCCUGGGGGAGUACGGUCGCAAGAUUA